CAGAACGAACGCUGGCGGCAAGCUUAACACAUGCAAGUCGAACGGAUUGUUAUCAUAGCUUGCUAUGAUAACAAUUAGUGGCAGACGGGUGAGUAAUGCAUAGGAAUCUACCUAGUAGUAUGGGAUAGCCACUAGAAAUGGUGGGUAAUACUGUAUAAUCCCUGCGGGGGAAAGAUUUAUCGCUAUUAGAUGAGCCUAUGUUAGAUUAGCUAGUUGGUAGGGUAAAGGCCUACCAAGGCAGUGAUCUAUAGCUGGUCUGAGAGGAUGAUCAGCCACACUGGAACUGAGAUACGGUCCAGRCUCCUACGGGAGGCAGCAGUGGGGAAUAUUGGACARAUGGGCGCAAGCYUGAUCCAGCUAUGCCGCG
This 367-nucleotide ribosomal RNA is filed under the name Candidatus Anaplasma camelii. RNAcentral's name for it is "bacterial SSU rRNA". It matches the Rfam family "Bacterial small subunit ribosomal RNA", at positions 25 to 401 of the family's 1533-position model. Lineage: Bacteria; Pseudomonadati; Pseudomonadota; Alphaproteobacteria; Rickettsiales; Anaplasmataceae. The record is from RNAcentral.